GACAGAGGUGCCGAGCGUUAGGCGGAAUCACUGGGCUUAAAGCGUGUGUAGGCGGAUGCCUAAGUACCUUGUGAAAUCCCACGGCUUAACCGUGGAACUGCUUGGUAUACUGGGUGUCUUGAGCCACUUAGGGGCGACCGGAACAAACGGUGGAGCGGUGAAGUGCGUAGAUAUCGUUUGGAACGCCAAUGGUGAAAACAGGUCGCUGGGAGUGCGCUGACGCUGAGACACGAAAGCCAGGGGAGCGAACGGG
This 253-nucleotide ribosomal RNA is filed under the name uncultured bacterium. RNAcentral describes it as "partial 16S ribosomal RNA". It matches the Rfam family "Bacterial small subunit ribosomal RNA", at positions 524 to 776 of the family's 1533-position model. The record is from RNAcentral.